RNAcentral lists this ribosomal RNA (497 nucleotides) under uncultured bacterium. RNAcentral describes it as "partial 16S ribosomal RNA". It matches the Rfam family "Bacterial small subunit ribosomal RNA", at positions 28 to 507 of the family's 1533-position model. The record is from RNAcentral.
GAUGAACGCUGGCGGCGUGCCUAAUACAUGCAAGUCGAGCGAACAGACGAUGAUCUUGCUCCUCUUACGUUAUCGGCGGACGGGUGUGUAACACGUGUAUAACCUACCUAUAUUUCUUGUAUAACUUCGUGAAACCGGCUCUAAUACCGUAUAAUAUAUUGAUCCGCAUGGUUCUAUAGUUAUUUUCGUUUUUGCUUUCUCUUUUAGAUGGUUCCUCGCCGCAUUCGCUAGUUGGUAAGGUAACGGCUUACCAAGGCAACGAUGCGUAGCCGACCUGAGAGGGUGAUCGGAGAAACUGGAAGGGAGACACGGAACAGACACCUACGGGAGGCAGCAGAAGGGAAUGUGCCGGAAUGGGCGAAAGCAUGACGGAGCAAGGGGGAGUGAGUGAAGAAGGAGUAAGGAUCGUAAAACACUGUUAUUAGGGAAGAAAAAAUGUGUAAGAAAAUAUGCACGAAAUGACGGUAACUAAUAAGAAAGCAACGGCUAACUACGUG